Molecule: ribosomal RNA, 391 nt
Filed under: uncultured bacterium
Lineage: Bacteria
Description: bacterial SSU rRNA
Rfam family: Bacterial small subunit ribosomal RNA
Source: RNAcentral
GAUGAACGCUAGCGGCAGGCUUAAUACAUGCAAGUCGAGGGGCAGCAGGUCUGUAGCAAUACAGAUGCUGGCGACCGGCAAACGGGUGCGGAACACGUACAGAACCUUCCUUCGAGCGGGGAAUAGCCCAGAGAAAUUUGGAUUAAUACCCCAUAGUACAUUGAAGAGGCAUCUCUUUAAUAUUAAAGAUUUAUCACUUGAAGAUGGCUGUGCGGCUGAUUAGGUAGUUGGCGGGGUAACGGCCCACCAAGCCUACGAUCAGUAACUGGUGUGAGGGCACGACCAGUCACACGGGCACUGAGACACGGGCCCGACUCCUACGGGAGGCAGCAGUAAGGAAUAUUGGUCAAUGGACGCAAGUCUGAACCAGCCAUGCCGCGUGGAGGAUGAA